UACGGGGGGGGCAAGCGUUGUUCGGAAUUACUGGGCGUAAAGGGCUCGUAGGCGGCCAACUAAGUCGGAUGUGAAAUCCCCAAGCUUAACCUGGGAACUGCAUCCGAUACUGGAUGGCUUGAAUCCGGGAGAGGGAUGCAGAAUUCCAGGUGUAGCGGUGAAAUGCGUAGAUAUCUGGAGGAAUACCGGUGGCGAAGGCGGCAUCCUGGACCGGCACUGACGCUGAGGAGCGAAAGCGUGGGUAGCAAACAGG
RNAcentral lists this ribosomal RNA (253 nucleotides) under uncultured bacterium. Its description in RNAcentral is "partial 16S ribosomal RNA". It matches the Rfam family "Bacterial small subunit ribosomal RNA", at positions 524 to 776 of the family's 1533-position model. The record is from RNAcentral.